AAUGAUUUUCUUUACUGCAUUAUCAUUAAAAUAAAUAAAUUAUAUAUCGACUAAUUUUUAUGAAAAUAUGAAUUGCGACCAACAUUAAAACAUAAGUAAGAAAAUGGAAGAGUAAUUACGGAAUGGUGAUGGGCUUAACAACUCACUCAGGGCUAUGAUCUGGAAUUGAGUUCUAGCGGUAAUAGAAACCAUGUUGGCCCAAUUGUUGUCU
RNAcentral lists this long non-coding RNA (211 nucleotides) under Panax ginseng (ginseng). RNAcentral's name for it is "long non-coding RNA (PGIN_LNC007537)". The record is from RNAcentral. Lineage: Eukaryota; Viridiplantae; Streptophyta; Magnoliopsida; Apiales; Araliaceae.